GCGGAAGUAGCUCAGUUGGUAGAGCAUAACCUUGCCAAGGUUAGGGUCGCGAGUUCGAGUCUCGUUUUCCGCUCCA
Molecule: transfer RNA, 76 nt
Filed under: Bacteroides pyogenes
Lineage: Bacteria; Pseudomonadati; Bacteroidota; Bacteroidia; Bacteroidales; Bacteroidaceae
Also listed under: 2 other names
Description: tRNA-Gly
Rfam family: tRNA
About the family: Transfer RNA (tRNA) molecules are approximately 80 nucleotides in length. Their secondary structure includes four short double-helical elements and three loops (D, anti-codon, and T loops).
Source: RNAcentral